GCGCCCGUAGCUCAACUGGACAGAGUACUUGGUUACGGCCCAAGGGGUUGUGGGUUCGACUCCUGCCGGGCGCGCCA
Molecule: transfer RNA, 77 nt
Filed under: Mycoplasmopsis phocirhinis
Lineage: Bacteria; Bacillati; Mycoplasmatota; Mycoplasmoidales; Metamycoplasmataceae
Also listed under: 2 other names
Description: Mycoplasma phocirhinis tRNA-Arg
Rfam family: tRNA
About the family: Transfer RNA (tRNA) molecules are approximately 80 nucleotides in length. Their secondary structure includes four short double-helical elements and three loops (D, anti-codon, and T loops). Further hydrogen bonds mediate the characteristic L-shaped molecular structure. tRNAs have two regions of fundamental functional importance: the anti-codon, which is responsible for specific mRNA codon recognition, and the 3' end, to which the tRNAs corresponding amino acid is attached (by aminoacyl-tRNA synthetases). tRNAs cope with the degeneracy of the genetic code in two manners: having more than one tRNA (with a specific anti-codon) for a particular amino acid; and 'wobble' base-pairing, i.e. permitting non-standard base-pairing at the 3rd anti-codon position.
Source: RNAcentral